AUACUUAACUGGCAGGGGAGAUAGCAUGAUCACGAAGGUGGUUUUCCCAGGGCAAGGCUUAUCCAUUGCACUCCAGAUGUGCUGACCCCUGUGAUUUCCCCAAAUGUGGGAAACUCGACUGCAUAAUUUGUGGAAGUGGGGGACUGCAUUCACGCUCUCUCCUA
This 164-nucleotide small nuclear RNA is filed under the name Echinops telfairi (small Madagascar hedgehog). RNAcentral describes it as "U1 spliceosomal RNA (ENSETEG00000021635.1)". It matches the Rfam family "U1 spliceosomal RNA". From Rfam's summary of the family: U1 is a small nuclear RNA (snRNA) component of the spliceosome (involved in pre-mRNA splicing). Its 5' end forms complementary base pairs with the 5' splice junction, thus defining the 5' donor site of an intron. There are significant differences in sequence and secondary structure between metazoan and yeast U1 snRNAs, the latter being much longer (568 nucleotides as compared to 164 nucleotides in human). Lineage: Eukaryota; Metazoa; Chordata; Mammalia; Afrosoricida; Tenrecidae. The record is from RNAcentral.